RNAcentral lists this ribosomal RNA (447 nucleotides) under uncultured bacterium. RNAcentral describes it as "bacterial SSU rRNA". It matches the Rfam family "Bacterial small subunit ribosomal RNA", at positions 330 to 793 of the family's 1533-position model. The record is from RNAcentral.
UCCAGACUCCUACGGGAGGCAGCAGUGGGGGAUAUUGCACAAUGGGGGGAACCCUGAUGCAGCGACGCCGCGUGAGUGAGGAAGUAUCUCGGUAUGUAAAGCUCUAUCAGCAGGGAAGAAGAAAGACGGUACCUGAGUAAGAAGCCCCGGCUAACUACGUGCCAGCAGCCGCGGUAAUACGUAGGGGGCAAGCGUUAUCCGGAUUUACUGGGUGUAAAGGGAGCGUAGACGGUAUGGCAAGUCUGAAGUGAAAGCCCCGGGCUCAACCUGGGAAUUGCUUUGGAAACUGUUAAACUAGAGUGCUGGAGAGGCAGGCGGAAUUCCUAGUGUAGCGGUGAAAUGCGUAGAUAUUAGGAGGAACACCAGUGGCGAAGGCGGCCUGCUGGACAGUAACUGACGUUGAGGCUCGAAAGCGUGGGGAGCAAACAGGAUUAGAUACCCGGGUAA